CAACGUUUGAAUAUUAUACUCAGUCAGUUGCUCGACUACUUACAGUCCUAUUACUUGAGACUUAUACUUGGUUAGCUGUCGUGUACAUUAUUCUGACAUAAAUGACACCAUGUCUAUGUGCAAGUCAGAAGGACCUGACCAUCUAAAAAGAUGUCAAAUUAGUGUGGUACAUGCUUCAGUACUGCAAGUUGGAGUAGCAAGUAAGUAUACACAUCAAAUGAAAGUACUGCUUUAGUACAACAUGCUUCAGUACUGACCAUCUAAAAAGAUGUCUAAUUAGUGUGCACGAAUCAUGUUAAAACCUGUAGUGCCUACUUGCGCAUUGAUACUCAUACCUGACGGUGAUAAAAGUUGCAUUUUGAGAUUCAAUUCUUUGAUUUAUGAUGCUCUGCCAUAUGCACAAUGAGAACAUAUAUCCUUCUUACUGAUCUCUGUUUUUCUAAGUUGAAACUAUUUCUUUGUUACUUGGUGUAUGUGAAGUGCCAUCAUAGUCCUGUCACAAACUUGUUUGAGGAAGGCAAAAGACUGGCCUUUUGCAGGACAGAGAAAAGACCGGCUUAUUUUAGUUCAACACAACAUAGCAAGCUCAAUAUAUAUUAGUUAGCACAUGGCAGGAUGCAGACUAGCCAUGUUCAUUUGUCAACAUUUAUACUUUCCAUUGUGUAGUUGAAGCACGCAUAGGAGCGUCCCAGUUAUGAUGUAUAGUUCACAAUGUUGAUUUGGUAAGUAGUUAGAAAACAUAUGUGAUGUAUAUGUAAAAAGUUGUGCCUCAUUCAAUUCAGAUAAUUGAUUUUCUGACUUUGCAUAUCGAUAAUUGAAAACGAUGCAUGACACACGUGUUAGUGAAAUAGAACAGUAUUAGUGUAGUCCGUGGCUUUGAAAUAUUCGAAAUAGUGGUGUCACAUAACUUCUUAUAAUCAUGGCGUAUAUUCUAGGAUCAUAAAAUUCUCUGAAAUAGUUUAUAUAUUUUUUCUUUCUCUUUUUGUUGUGAAUAUAAAAUUUCAGGCUUUCUCUUAUUGAAACACACAGAGUUCUUGAUAAAUGAGAAAGAGUCAGUUAUGUCAACACCAUGAGCACCCUUGAAUAAAAGUUUAUGUCGGUGUACUAGAGUAGGGGUACCCUAGUAUCCCGAACUCGUGCACGGGCAGUUGCAGCGCCCCGCGGCAAGGCUUGUCGGGUGACCGCCAAGACCCUCCAUGGUUCCCUUGAAGACCAUUCAAGAACAAAGUACUCAAACCAAGGCCCCGGCAAGAGGAGCUUGCCGGGAAGGCCAACCCAGGCCCCGGCAAGAGGAUCUUGCCGGGAAGAGACAAGACCCCGGCAAGAGGAGCUUGCCGGGAAGGCCACUCAAGGCAUACCAAGAAAGCUUGCCGCGACGCGCCCUGCGUCCCGGCAAGAUCCGGCGAGCGACAAGCUUCCAGACGCGACAAGACGACGACCCCGGCAAGGUACUUGCCGGAGGCCAGUUGCCACUAUGUACCCACGCUCCAGCGCACCCACCCGCGUGUCGCCAUGAGGCUUCCUCAGGGGGCGCGUGGCGGGAGCCUGUGCAGCUAGGGGUACGUGGUGGCAAGCGGAGAUGAAGAGAAGGCCAUCGUGGCGAACGGUGGCGCUCCUAACGGUCACUUUUUGCACUGUUUAGGCAAUUCAGACAGGCAUUCAAUGCUCUUGUCCCCUGCCGUCAGAGUUAGGUAGGGUGCACUGUGUCUACAGUAGCGGUAGCUGCACCUACCGCAUCCUUUUCCAUUUUUACCCCUCUUGUCUACGUUGCCACCUGUCGGUGACCCCUUGAGAGUAUAAAAGGAGGCCCAAGCGCAACGUAGAAGAGGUUCGGCCGGUUCGGCUCAUUCGAAACACCAGGGACACUCCCACGCUCAGUCUGAUAGCGUCGAUCGCUCCUGAGCAAGGAUUCAAUACACACAAACAAGCAGCAGUAGGGUUUUACGCAUCCGUGCGGCCCGAAGCUGGGUAAAACUGCUCGCGUGUACUGCCUCGAUCCGCUCUUUGUUCAACCUCCGCCCUCACCGAAUAGAAAGGGGCUCGGUCCGCCGAUCCCCAUAGGUGUUCGUGGAUCAGUUUUCCCGACAUCUUUGGCGCGCCAAGUAGGGGGAGCUUCGGCGGCAGCUGUUCCGUCCACGUCAAGGCUCAGCUGUUCUUCAUCGUCAUGGCUCCUAAGAAGCGGGCGAGCAAAAGAACGACGCCAGUGCGGCAACAGAAAAGCUAAGUCGUGCGAAACUUUAGAUAUUUCCUUUCUAUAUAAGGUUAUCCGCCUCGGAGAUUUUGUUCUUUGUAUGGAAAACCUGUGCGCGGAGGAAUCAACUCGUAGCUAGUUGCGCCCUUACUCUGUUUCGAGUCCGCUCAAUAACUUAAGUGAGCUGCUAGCGCCCUUACUUUGCUUCGAGUCCGCUCAGCAACUUAAGUGAGCCGCUAGCGCCCUUACUUUGUUUCGAGUCCGCUCAACAACUUAAGUGAGCUGCAACUAGUUGCGACAAGGUUGCUUGUCGGUAGCGACCCCGCCAGCAGGCUGCUGAAGUUCCGCACUCGGCGCUCGCGGCAAGGGUGCCUGCACCGGCAAGUUUCCCUAGAAAGCGUAGGGUGGACGUACAAAGAGAAGUUGAACAGGAAGAUAGCAUGCACUAUUUAUUUGAGAUUUCUGCAUAGACCUGUAUGCCAAGGAGCCUUCUCGGGGCUAGUUGCGCUCCAUGUUGCCUCGAGUCCGCUCGGCAACUUGUGCGGUUGCGCUAGAACCAAGAAGGUAAACCUUUCCGGGAGGCGAUGCUCCCGAAUAGCCGCUAAGGGCCCGUUCCCUCAAGCGCUGCUGGCUGGAUCGUACGCACCGGAAAGCAUUCCAGCAGGCAUAGGGAAUAUGCAGCAAAAGUCAAAAUUCGCAAGCGAGUUAAGUGCACUUUAGAUGCUAAUCACUUGUCAUGUUUAAAUGCAGUUAUGGCCCGAGGGCUGGCAACGCCCCUAGGACCAAUCUUUUUGGUGUCAAGAACAACGAAGUUCUUCGCCAUAAGCCUUUCCGGCAACGAUCUUGCCGGGAGCCGGUGUCAAGAACGACGAAGUUCUUCGCCAUAAGCCUUUCCGGCAACGAUCUUGCCGGGAGCCGGUGUCAAGAACAACGAAGUUCUUCGCCAUAAGCCUUCUCGGCAACAAGCUUGCCGGAAGCCGGCAUCGAGAACGUCAAAGUUCUCUGCUGGAGAUAAAAGCCUUCUCGGCAACAAGCUUGCCGGAAGCCGGCAUCGAGAACGUCAAAGUUUUCUGCUGAAGAUAAAAGCUUUUCUGGCAACAAGCUUGCCGGAAGCCGGCAUCGAGAACGUCAAAGUUCUCUGCUGGAGAUAAAAGCCUUCUCAGCAACAAGCUUGCCGGAAGCCGGCAUCGAGAACGUCAAAGUUCUCUGCUGAAGAUAAAAGCCUUCCUGACAAUAAGCUUGCCGGAAGUCGGCAUCGAGAACGUCAAAGUUCUUUGCUGAAGAUAAAAGCCUUCCUGGCAACAAGCUUGCCGGAAGCUGGCAUCGAGAACGUCAAAGUUCUCUGCUGGAGAUAAAAGCCUUCCCGGCAAGCCAGUAUCACUGGGGGCUGCGCUGGGGAUGCUCUGCGAAGUGAUGGCCGAAUCUGGCAAGGUGGUCUCGGGCGCGCCUCCUGUCGUCGUAGUGGGCUCGUCCUCGAUGACCACCACCUGAGCCUUGGCCCUCUUCGCCGCCCUCUGGGCCAGAGUCCUGAAAAGGGAGAGUCCAGGGUGGGUCAGAUCAGAUGCAAGACAACAUCAGCAAGUUGAAGAACUACAAGAACAACAAGGGAAUCUUACUCUUCUUCCUCUUCCUCGUCGGAGCUGAGCGCGGAAAGGUCGAAGUUCGGCCCACCUCCGGCACGACGAGGUGGAGGGGUGGGAUCCCUUGGCCGCUUGGCGGGGGCUGCGGCGCCAGCCCGAGACGUCCCCGCUUCAGUUGUCGCUGCGGCAGGAGGCGCUCCCGCGGCUACCGUACUUGCCGCGGUAGAGUGCGUCGCGCGACGCUGCGGCUGUUGGCCCACUUGCCACCCUGCUACGUCGCCAACCCUGCGGAGGCGCCUUCUUGGCUGCGCUGCGGGCCCUGCUCGCGGCAAGCUCCUCGGAGAUGGCGGGCCGCUCGCACCCUCGGCGGGCUCGUUCGACUCGGCGUCGGGCGCGGCGAGCUCUUCUUCCUCUUCGGGCUGCUCCCGUUCGGCAAGACUCAUCGCCAACGUCGCGUCCGCUUCCUCCACGGUGAACCCGAAUUCACCCGCGGCCGCGGCUGCCGCUGCCUCUUCCGCCCUGGUGGCGAUGCGCUCCAUCUCUUGAUCAGUGAUGUCGCGGGUGAGGAGCUUCUUCUCGUCAGCAUUGACCGCCACCUCCACUAGGCUGUCGAAGAACUGCUGCACGACGUCGCCGGCGGGCUCUUGCCAAGUUGGAGCGAUCCCGUGCGAGUCACACAACGGCAUCAUGGCGCAGAUGCGGUCGCGCGAGGAGUUGUUGCACAGAGGAACGACGCCUGCCGGCAACCUGAACCACUCGGGAUGCUGUGGGUCAUGCUUGAAUAUCUCCUUAAGUAUCCUGUCCAACUCUAUGACGGUGAAAUUGAAGUUGAGGCCUGGGCGCAACCUCAUGAUAUCUGCCGGGCCUCCAAAUUCCCAGGCGGGUCUCCCCCUCGCCUGCAGAGGGGCGAUCCGCCGACGAAGGAAAUCUGCGCCAACAGCUCCUACGGUCAGCCCGGCAAGCCUAAGGCGCAAGAUCCGGGUGGUGGCGAUCUUCAACUUGUCAUCGUCCGCGGACAGAGCGCUCCAAUCAUUGCCUCGCACUGCUGGGGCUUGGCGCAGGGCGGUGAACGGCUGCGGGUUCUCCUCUACAACCCAGCACCAGUUUGCUCUCCACUCAUCCCACUUGCUGCGGAGCUCCCCCUCCAGAUAGGUCUCUUUCUUGCCGGCUCGCGAGAUCCAGGCGAUCCCCCCGGCAAGGGUUUCCCCUCUCUCGACACGGGGCAUGAAGAAAUGGCGGAAGAGAGCUACGUUGGGGUGGACUCCGACAAAGUUUUCGCAUAGAUGGGCGAAAACUGCCACGGUCAAGACGGCGUUGGAGGUAAAAUCAAGGAGGUGGAGCCCGUAGGUGUUCAUGAUAUCACAAAAGAAAUCAGAGAAUGGCGGACAGAGCCCGCAGUAGAAGAACACGGCAAAGAAAGGUACCCGCCAACUGGAGCUUCUUGCGAGGUGAUGGCAGAGAGUACCUUUGUGCGCGGAUGCGCCCGUGUCUCCGUCGACCAGAAGAGAUAGUACCACUUCCUCAGAUCCUUUGCGGAGAGCUCGGGGAGGAAAGUGGCCCGCUCUUUCCGCAGCGCCUCAAGCCGCUGCGCUUCGGUCGACUUCACAGCUUUCGCGGCCUUCCCCUUUCCGGGCUUCGGAGCCAUGGCGGAGGCGGUGGGGGAGAUCGACGGCGCUGGUGGUGGCGGCGGCGACGGGAGCGGAGCGCUGCUCUCUUUCGACUUUGAAAAUUAAGAAGGGCGGCGGAGGUUUCUGAGAUUGCAGCAGCAAAUGGCGAAGAUAGGGGAAAUACCCCUGUUUCCCCUGCUUAUAAGGAGGAGGGGGCGGACGUUGCGUUCUUUCCGAAUAAAGAACCACCCACGAUCUCCCCCACGACGCCGUGAUUGACGCGUGCCGUUGCGGGGGGUGCGGUGGAUACGGAGCGAGAUUUGGUGUGGACCCAGGCCGCGCGUGCCCGUGCACUGUUUUGGGCCUGGCCCAACAGCGCUCGGCACCGUGUAUGGCCCAGGCCCGGGGGCUCCCGUCGGUGUACUAGAGUAGGGGUACCCUAGUAUCCCGAACUCGUGCACGGGCAGUUGCAGCGCCCCGCGGCAAGGCUUGCCGGGUGACCGCCAAGACCCUCCGUGGUUCCCUUGAAGACCAUUCAAGAACAAAGUACUCAAAUCAAGGCCCCGGCAAGAGGAGCUUGCCGGGAAGGCCAACCCAGGCCCCGGCAAGAGGAUCUUGCCGGGAAGAGACAAGACCCCGGCAAGAGGAGCUUGCCGGGAAGGCCACUCAAGGCAUACCAAGAAAGCUUGCCGCGACGCGCCCUGCGUCCCGGCAAGAUCCGGCGAGCGACAAGCUUCCAGACGCGACAAGACGACGACCCCGGCAAGGUACUUGCCGAAGGCCAGUUGCCACUCUGUACCCACGCUCCAGCGCACCCACCCGCGUGUCGCCAUGAGGCUUCCUCAGGGGGCGCGUGGCGGGAGCCUGUGCAGCCAGGGGUACGUGGUGGCAAGCGGAGAUGAAGAGAAGGCCAUCGUGGCGAACGGUGGCGCUCCUAACGGUCACUUUUUGCACUGUUUAGGCAACUCAGACAGGCAUUCAAUGCUCUUGUCCCCUGCCGUCAGAGUUAGGUAGGGUGCACUGUGUCUACAGUAGCGGUAGCUGCACCUACCGCAUCCUUUUCCAUUUUUACCCCUCUCGUCUACGUUGCCACCUGUCGGUGACCCCUUAAGAGUAUAAAAGGAGGCCCAAGCGCAACGUAGAAGAGGUUCGGCCGGUUCGGCUCAUUCGAAACACCAGAAACACUCCCACGCUCAGUCUGAUAGCGUCGAUCGCUCCUGAGCAAGGAUUCAAUACACACAAACAAGCAGCAGUAGGGUUUUACGCAUCCGUGCGGCCCGAAGCUGGGUAAAACUGCUCGCGUGUACUGCCUCGAUCCGCUCUUUGUUCAACCUCCGCCCUCACCGAAUCGAAAGGGGCUCGGUCCGCCGAUCCCCAUAGGUGUUCGUGGAUCAGUUUCCCCGACAGUUUACAAUCUGAGGUUCCCCUGGUAAUAAAUUUGAUCAUAAUAUGUAUUCGUAAUUUUUCUCACAUAGAUUUGUUUAGAUAUAAAAUUGACUGUUCCCAACAAUACAUUGAUUUCUUUUUGCAGGGAGAGAUCUUGUAAGAACAUAAGUGCCUUAGAAGAAAAGAAAAAGGUAAGUUCCCAUUGCAUGUAUUAAUUAGCUUACUGAAUUCUUUCCCUCAAGAAGAAAUAGACUUAAUCGCAUAUUUGUUGAUGGAUACCAACACAGGCUGCCAGUGGCCACUGGCCAGGCUGGGAGGAUCAAACGGGUUGUGUGUUCACCGGACUCUAGCUUUUAGUGCGCUGCACAGUUUAGGGAUAAUUAAUUUGGUGAUUUAUGCUUCGUUCUCGAAUGAUUCGAUUUUAUAUGUGGAUUUAUGUAUAAGCAUUAGUUUAUGUUGGAGCACUACCCUUUGCCCCCUUACUCAUGGUUUAUAUUAUCAUGCACUUUUUGGGUGGAUUCGUACAACAAGUCAAAUGAGGCAUCCGACUUAGCAAGCUCAUGCUCUCGUUUUCCUUGAAUUGCAUCUAAGAGCAACUCAAAGUGUUGAUUUACAUCUGUAGUUAUGUUCCCAAUGUUGAGGUUAGUGAUUUUCUUAUAGCGGUGAAUUUAAUCUGGAUGCUAAUGAAAGUCUAGCUAGGACGAAAUCUAUCAUGUUUCUGUCGGGAAAACUUGUGAUCAAUGGGUUUACUAAAAUUGACUUUUGGUCUGUAUUAAUGGGCAUUGGCUAUUGUUGUCAUUGGAAUGCGCUUUCUUGUAGUAGUAGGUCAAGAGAACUUUUAUGCAUAACACAAUGCCUUUCAGUUUAUAGAUUCAUAACUGAUAACUGUAAUAAUAUUAUUGAAGAGUAUUUCCUAUUAGAUAACUAAACUUAACAUCACAUCUCUUUAUUUUUGUUUUUCCUUCUGAGAACCUUAGAACCCUGCUUGGAAGACUAUUUAACCCGUCAUUUUUCUAUUUAUUGUUCAAAAUUGCUUCCGUUAACAUGAUCAUGAACACACAGGUUGUAUAUUUAUUUUAAUCGUGUGUACUUGUGACC
RNAcentral lists this long non-coding RNA (7862 nucleotides) under Triticum aestivum (bread wheat). RNAcentral's name for it is "long non-coding RNA (TAES_LNC014492)". Lineage: Eukaryota; Viridiplantae; Streptophyta; Magnoliopsida; Poales; Poaceae. The record is from RNAcentral.